AGUAGUAUCUGUCUAGAUGUCCCGAAGGAGCUGCGCAGUUCUCCAUCGACCAUUCCAAACCGUUGAUUAUCUGUUUAUACGGUCCAUGGUACCACCAACUGCCAGCAACGUACAUCUACUGCAGAUUUUGGAGAUUGAUUUAUGGUGAUGUUUCACUUCUUCCAGAGCUUCAGUUCUUGCUUAGCAGAAUAAUUACAGCUGACGGUGAAUUUGGACGUUGGCAUUCAGAAGCUGGGUUGUUCCAUCCAAACUAUGACAAUGACGAAAGCUAGCAUCUAACUCGAAGGAGAGCUGCCCAGUUUUGCAUUAUCAACCAUUUCAAUGGUGUUCCCCUGCCUCUCGACC
Long non-coding RNA from Lolium rigidum, 345 nucleotides. RefSeq lists it as uncharacterized. The record is from RefSeq and is a predicted model, not a curated record. The transcript has 4 exons. Lineage: Eukaryota; Viridiplantae; Streptophyta; Magnoliopsida; Poales; Poaceae.